UUACUGGGCGUAAAGCGUGCGUAGGUGGUUGUUUAAGUCUGUUGUGAAAGCCCUGGGCUCAACCUGGGAACUGCAGUGGAAACUGGACAACUAGAGUGUGGUAGAGGGUAGCGGAAUUCCCGGUGUAGCAGUGAAAUGCGUAGAGAUCGGGAGGAACAUCCAUGGCGAAGGCAGCUACCUGGACCAACACUGACACUGAGGCACGAAAGCGUGGGGAGCAAACAGGAUUAGAUACCC
This 237-nucleotide ribosomal RNA is filed under the name bacterium. Its description in RNAcentral is "partial 16S ribosomal RNA". It matches the Rfam family "Bacterial small subunit ribosomal RNA", at positions 551 to 787 of the family's 1533-position model. The record is from RNAcentral.